GCGGCGGUGGCAGAUAUUAUGACUACCGCUAACGUCGGUGGGGUGGAGGUUGAAAUCCGCCGCGCCGGC
Molecule: transfer RNA, 69 nt
Filed under: Halioglobus japonicus
Lineage: Bacteria; Pseudomonadati; Pseudomonadota; Gammaproteobacteria; Cellvibrionales; Halieaceae
Description: tRNA-Val
Source: RNAcentral